AGGGUAGGGACUCUGGGCGGGCCGGCUCCCGCUCCGCCCUCAACACCGCCCGCGAGGGAUGGGCGCUGUGGGAGGGUAGGGGCCGGCUUGCGGGGGGACCCCGCUCUUCUGAGGGGGAGCCUGCCCUUCCCCGCGCCAGCAGCUGUGCUCAGCCGCGCCGCGCUCCACAAGGGCUGCAGUACGUGUAGUACCCUCAAGGUGUUUGUCUCGAAAGCCGCCCUUCCCGUGUUGCCUUUACUCCUUAAACUGCCUGUAUUUGUAACGUUUGGGUGUAUUUGGGGUUCGGCUGUGGAGCCGCUGCUGUGGAAAUGCAGCAUGCUCCCUUGGCGUUGGCUGGACAAAAUGGCGGUGGCUCGGCCCUGGCAGCCAGCGCCAUUGACGGUGGUGUCAGGCUGCAGGCAAAGAUUGUUAAUCGAAACAGAAAACUAGAUUGGGGGUGCAUCUCUGAUAUAAUUUCUCAUUCAGGAAGCAGUCUGUUGAAGUGAUCGCUUUGCCUUUUUUGGUAAGAAUGUCGAUGGGUGACUUGAGGUAAAGCACUCCUCAGCGCAGAGCCGUUGCCCGUAGUUUUUCAAAUGGGCAGAUACAGGCUGUGGCCUCUUCAAAACCAGGUCUAACAGAGAAACGGUGACAGCCUCUUCGUAAUUCUCCAACAGCAGAUAAAAGGAUUGGAAGGUAACUGCCGAUUAAGUGCUUCAUAAUUGAUACAAGAAUAAUUGUACAAGGAAAUAAAAAUAUCUGGUAACAGAUCUGUAUGAGGGAGAGCAGGUACAGAACACUGUCUUUCAUAAGACAAAUUUAUUGGUGGGAAAAGAUGACUCCACAUUGCUUUUCUAUAACCGCUUUUGAGCAGUGCUGAAUGUCUUGUGGGCUGUUUCAUUCUUGCAUCCCUCAGACCAAAACGGAGGCAUCAAUAUUGACAGCAGCAGUGUUAAAAGUUAAUGCCUGUGAAUUACCAUGUUGAGCACAUGGACCAUAAAAAAACGUGUUAACUAACAGGUGACCUGAGUUUCUGCGUGUCUUGAACAGACCUGAACCAGAAAAAUGCCAUUCAGAGUUCGCUGAUUUGGGUUUGAAGUAGAUCAGCAGAUUUAACCUGAGAAGUGACAGGUACAGGCACACAGCCACCUCCAACUGUGCAACAGGCUGAAGAUGAUUCACUUGGAGAGCAGUCAGAGAUCUGGGAUGCUCAGUCCAGUUCACUGCUUUCCUGUGUUAGCUCAGGACUAGAAGAAUGUAGUGGAGCAUGCAUCUGGCAGUGUGACGUUAUUCCUAUGGUGUGCAGUGUGCCCUUCGUGUGGAGAAUCACCAAAGUCAUUUCUGCUGCAGUCAUCUAGGCGUGAGGAGUUGUACUGUGUGCACUGAGGAGAGCUGGAAAGGACAAUGGUGUCAUCACCUGAGGGGAAACAAAAAUCAGAAAGAAAUGAGGAGGGGAAAUUUUGUCGCUUAUUUUUAGACUCCGUGGAGAGAGGGAGCUUGAGAUUGAAACAUUCUGGUAACAAUUUUCACCAGGUACAUAUUGUAUGUGUUUUAGAAGUAUCUCUAAUCUUAGAAAGAACAAGAGACAGAAUGGGUAAUAGUCUGUUCUGGUGUGCUGGAGAGGUCUAGCCUCUAGUUGCUGCAUAGGACAGGGAAAAAGCAAAAAUUCCACUGUUGCACAG
Pezoporus occidentalis (night parrot) is the source of this 1658-nucleotide long non-coding RNA. RefSeq lists it as uncharacterized. The transcript is spliced from 4 exons. The record is from RefSeq and is a predicted model, not a curated record. Lineage: Eukaryota; Metazoa; Chordata; Aves; Psittaciformes; Psittacidae.